AUUCAUUUUGUUUUGGAGCACUAAACCCAGGUGGCGGUCUUGCCUUAGCUCGCAAAUGAGGCAUCACAUCACCAAGUAAUGAAAAUGACGAGUCCUUUGAUGCACUUGCAAGCUGAACUUGCAAAUCUAUCCCAAAAUAUCCAGCCUCAAACCAUCCAAUAAUAUCACUACCAGAAAAAGGACCUUGAAUUUCACCCUGAGGAUCUUUAUAGUAAAGAACUAGAUUCUCCGGUGAGGGCUGAGAAAGCUUCUUGGCUUCUUGUUCCCUAUCCAGAAGCACAGAUGGCUGCCUCCUAAUAACGGGAUCUUCACCGGCUUGCCAUUUUGCUUCAUCUUUGAGACACGGAGAGUUAACCAAAUUACUGUCCCACCGAUUAUCUAGAUCUUUCUGAGGUUGAUUCCAGCCCAUCUCAGAGGUCCUUGACCUGCCAUCACUUGGAAUCUCUCUCCAGUCAUUC
RNAcentral lists this unclassified non-coding RNA (458 nucleotides) under Hevea brasiliensis (rubber tree). Lineage: Eukaryota; Viridiplantae; Streptophyta; Magnoliopsida; Malpighiales; Euphorbiaceae. The record is from RNAcentral.